This 468-nucleotide ribosomal RNA is filed under the name uncultured bacterium. RNAcentral describes it as "partial 16S ribosomal RNA". It matches the Rfam family "Bacterial small subunit ribosomal RNA", at positions 28 to 507 of the family's 1533-position model. The record is from RNAcentral.
GACGAACGCUGGCGGCGUGCUUAACACAUGCAAGUCGAACGGAAAGGCCCUGCUUUUGUGGGGUGCUCGAGUGGCGAACGGGUGAGUAACACGUGAGUAACCUGCCCUUGACUUUGGGAUAACUUCAGGAAACUGGGGCUAAUACCGGAUAGGAGCUCCUGCUGCAUGGUGGGGGUUGGAAAGUUUCGGCGGUUGGGGAUGGACUCGCGGCUUAUCAGCUUGUUGGUGGGGUAGUGGCUUACCAAGGCUUUGGCGGAUAGCCCGCCUGGGAGGGUGACCGCCCACAUUACUACUAAGAUACGGCCCAGACUCCUACGUUAGACAGCAGUGGGAAAUAUUGCACAAUGAUCGCAAGCCUGAUACAGCAACCCCGCGUUCGUGAUGACCGCCUUCUGGUUGUAAACAGCUUUCGCCUGUGACGAAGCGUGAGUGACGGUAAUGAGUAAAGAAGCACCGGCUAACUACGUG